This 670-nucleotide unclassified non-coding RNA is filed under the name Gliomastix murorum. RNAcentral's name for it is "sequence contains 18S rRNA gene, ITS1, 5.8S rRNA gene, ITS2, 28S rRNA gene". The stretch from base 223 to 376 matches the Rfam family "5.8S ribosomal RNA". Lineage: Eukaryota; Fungi; Ascomycota; Sordariomycetes; Hypocreales; Bionectriaceae. The record is from RNAcentral.
AGUCGUAACAAGGUCUCCGUUGGUGAACCAGCGGAGGGAUCAUUACCGAGUUGCAAAACUCCCAAACCCACUGUGAACCAAUACCACUGUUGCUUCGGCGGACACGCCCCGGGCGCACCUCCUCAGGGGGGUGUGCCCCGGAACCAGGCGCCCGCCGGGGGACCGAAACCUCUGUAUUUACCAUUUGAGUACUCUGAGUGUGAUUUACAAAAUCAAAAUUAAAACUUUCAACAACGGAUCUCUUGGCUCUAGCAUCGAUGAAGAACGCAGCGAAAUGCGAUAAGUAAUGCGAAUUGCAGAAUUCAGUGAAUCAUCGAAUCUUUGAACGCACAUUGCGCCCGCCAGUAUUCUGGCGGGCAUGCCUGUCUGAGCGUCGUUUCGACCCUCGCGCCCGGCUUCUGUCGGGGGCGGUGUUGGGGAUCGGCCACACCCUUUACUGGGCGGCCGUCCCCUAAAUCCAGUGGCGACCACGCUGUAGCCUCCCCUGCGUAGUACUAAAACCACCUCGCAGGCGGAGAGCGGUGCGGCCCGCCGUAAAACCCCCCAACUUUUACAAGGUCGACCUCAGAUCAGGUAGGAAUACCCGCUGAACUUAAGCAUAUCAAUAAGCGGAGGAAAAGAAACCAACAGGGAUUGCCUCAGUAACGGCGAGUGAAGCGGCAACAGCUCA